GGAAUAUAAGAACAUGUCUUUUAACUUUUAACUAAAAAAACUAAGAACCGGUUCUUAAAUAAGAAUUUUAAGAAACAUGUCUUAGCUUUUUUAGUUAAAAAUUAAGAGACAGAUUUUUAUAUUCC
This is a non-coding RNA of Brassica napus (rape), 125 nucleotides long. The record is from Rfam. Lineage: Eukaryota; Viridiplantae; Streptophyta; Magnoliopsida; Brassicales; Brassicaceae.